CAAGUACUCCCUCCGCCCGGAAUUACUUGUCAUCAAAAUGGAUGUGUCUAGAACUAAAAUACAUCUAGAUACAUCCAUUUCAAUGACAAGUAUUUUCGGACGGAGGGAGUACAAG
Molecule: non-coding RNA, 115 nt
Organism: Triticum urartu
Lineage: Eukaryota; Viridiplantae; Streptophyta; Magnoliopsida; Poales; Poaceae
Source: Rfam